RNAcentral lists this long non-coding RNA (234 nucleotides) under Ananas comosus (pineapple). RNAcentral's name for it is "long non-coding RNA (ACOM_LNC000985)". Lineage: Eukaryota; Viridiplantae; Streptophyta; Magnoliopsida; Poales; Bromeliaceae. The record is from RNAcentral.
UUAAUUCCAUACAUAUCCUCGCUCCAAUCUUAAAUUACAUAGACACCAUUUCUCAAAAAAAAAAAAAAAAUUACAUAGACACCGCUCUAAAAAUAUCAAUAUUAAAAAUACCUCUCUAAUUUGGAGAAACUAUCAUAAAUACUCAAAUUCAUAAUAAUUCAUUGAAAAACAAAAUAAAAUUUUAUUUUGCCCACUACAUAUACCAUUUUAAUUAACUCAAACAUUAUUUUAUUU